This 214-nucleotide ribosomal RNA is filed under the name uncultured bacterium. Its description in RNAcentral is "partial 16S ribosomal RNA". It matches the Rfam family "Bacterial small subunit ribosomal RNA", at positions 524 to 737 of the family's 1533-position model. The record is from RNAcentral.
UACGGAGGGUGCGAGCGUUGUCCGGAAUCACUGGGCGUAAAGGGCGCGUAGGUGGCGCGGGAAGUCAACGGUGAAAGUUCAGGGCUCAACCCUGAAUCGGCCGUCGAUACUCCCGGGCUUGAGCACUGUAGAGGCAGGUGGAAUUCCGGGUGUAGCGGUGGAAUGCGUAGAGAUCCGGAAGAACACCGGUGGCGAAGGCGGCCUGCUGGGCAGU